CUGAAAAACCAACUGCAAUUUUCAGAGCCUUGGAGGGAGAUUUUUGGCUAUUCACUGAAACCUUGAUCCCCAUUUUUUGCUGACAAAAAAAAAAAAAAAAAAAAAAAAAAGAGAGGAAGCAUACAUAUUUUUAUCAGAUAGUUUAUUCUUCUAUAAUUUCCUUUUUCUUGAAGAAAGAGAUAGCAAAAAAGGGUAGAGAAAAAAAAAAAAGAAACAGAAAAUUGUAGAGCUUGCAGACUAUUAAUAAGUACCUUCAUGUUGUUUGUUUGUUGGAGACGAAGAAUUAUGAAGUGGAGAAAGAGAAUUCCUCUGGAUUUAUUGGUAAUACAUGGAUGUUGGAUUGCUGGUGAUGUAGCUGUUAUUAUAUACACAAGGGCAC
This 379-nucleotide long non-coding RNA is filed under the name Ricinus communis (castor bean). RNAcentral describes it as "long non-coding RNA (RCOM_LNC001790)". The record is from RNAcentral. Lineage: Eukaryota; Viridiplantae; Streptophyta; Magnoliopsida; Malpighiales; Euphorbiaceae.